CCUGGUGCAAAACCCAUUACAUGAUCAUCCCACCUACACCUCAGCCCUCUAUUGGUAAUCCACCUGAGGAGAACUCCUUCCUGCUGACACUAUGUUUGGUUCUGGUUCUGCAAAACCCAUUACCCAGUAUUCUCUAAAGAUGGUGUACCUACUUAUAACAACAUGAUGGUGCUGAAAGUAGGCAGUUUGCUUCUGCUUCUGGCUUGGCUGUAGUCAAUAAAGAGCUCAUGUACCUCAUCAAAAAUAAAGUAUAUAUUUGGUCUUUUUA
Long non-coding RNA from Pundamilia nyererei, 268 nucleotides. RefSeq lists it as uncharacterized. The record is from RefSeq and is a predicted model, not a curated record. The transcript is spliced from 3 exons. NCBI's taxonomy places the organism in Eukaryota, Metazoa, Chordata, Actinopteri, Cichliformes, Cichlidae.